This 508-nucleotide ribosomal RNA is filed under the name uncultured Ascomycota. Its description in RNAcentral is "eukaryotic LSU rRNA". The stretch from base 168 to 321 matches the Rfam family "5.8S ribosomal RNA". The record is from RNAcentral. Lineage: Eukaryota; Fungi; Ascomycota.
CAUUAAAGAGUUAUGGGGGCUUCUGCCCACCAACUCCACCCUUUGUUUACAUAUCAUUGUUGCUUUGGCAGGCCUGUCGAGAGACUACCGGCUUCGGCUGGUUAGUGUCUGCCAGAGAACCAAAACUCUUGUUUAAUCAUAUUGUCUGAGUACUAUAUAAUAGUUAAAACUUUCAACAACGGAUCUCUUGGUUCUGGCAUCGAUGAAGAACGCAGCGAAAUGCGAUAAGUAAUGUGAAUUGCAGAAUUCAGUGAAUCAUCGAAUCUUUGAACGCACAUUGCGCCCCUUGGCAUUCCGAGGGGCAUGCCUGUUCGAGCGUCAUUACAACCCUCAAGCUCUGCUUGGUAUUGGGCCUCGUCUCCCCGCGGACGUGCCUCAAAAUCAUCGGCGGUGGCGUCUUGCCUCAAGCGUAGUAAAAUUCUUCUCGCUUUGGAGGUUGGGGCGCCCCCCGCCGGACGAACCUUUUUACUUCUAUCAAAGGUUGACCUCGGAUCAGGUAGGGAUACCC